UCCUUUCCAUUCCAUCCCAAUUCCUUUCCAUUUCAUCCAAAUUCCAUUCCAUUCCAUCCCAAUUCCAUUCCUUUCCAAUACAUUCCAAUUCCAUGCCAUCCCAAUUCCUUUCCAUUCCGUCCCAAUUCGAUCCAAAUUCCAUCCCAUUCCAUUCCGUUCUUUUCUAUUCCAUCCCAAUUCCAUUUCAUUCUUUUCCAUUCCAUCCCAAUUCCAUCCCAUUCCUUUCCAAUUGCAUCCCAAUUCCAUUCCAUUCCAUCCCAAUUCCAUUCUUUUCCAAUUCCAUACCAAUUCCUUUCCAUUCCAUCCCAAUUCCAUCCCAUUUCCAUCCCAAUUCCAUCCCAUUCCUUUCCAAUUGCAUCCCAAUUCCAUUCCAUUCCAUCCCAAUUCCAUUCUUUUCCAAUUCCAUACCAUUUCCUUUCCAUUCCAUCCCAAUUCCAUCCCAUUUCCAUCCCAAUUCCAUCCCAUUCCUUUCCAUUCCAUCCCAAUUCAAUUCUUUUCCAAUUCCAUCCCAAUUCCUUUCCAUUCCUUUCCAUUCUAGUUCCAUCCCAUUCCAUUCUAAUUCCAUCCCAUUCCUUUCCAAUUCCAUCCCGUUCUAUCCCAAUUCAAUUCUUUUCCAAUUCCAUCCCAUCCCUUUCCAUUCCAUCCCAAUUCCAUCCCAAUUCCAUCCCAUUCCUUUCCAAUUCCAUCCCAUUCCAUCCCAAUUCAAUUCUUUUCCAAUUCCAUCCCAAUUCCAUUCCAUUCCAUUUCCAUCCCAUCCCUUUCCAUUCAAUCCCAAUUCCAUUCCAUCCCAAUUCCAUCCCAUCCCUUUCCAUUCAAUCCCAAUUCCAUUCCUUUCCAUUCCAUCCCAUUCCUUUCCAUUCCAUCCCAUCCCAAUUCAAUUCCUUUCCAAUUCCAUCCCAAUUCCAUCCCGUUUCAUCCCAAUUCAAUUAUUUUCCAAUUCCAUCCCAAUUCCUUUCCAUUUCAUUCCAUUCCAAUUCCAUCCUAUUCCAUCCCAUUCCAUUCCAUUCCAUUCCAUCCCAUUCCAUUCCUUUUCACUUCCAUCCCAAUUCCAUCCCAUCCCAUUCCAUUCCAAUUCCAUUCCAUUUCAUUCUUUUUCACUUCCAUCCCAAUUCCAUCCCAUCCCAUCCCAUUCCAUUCCAUUCCAUUCCAUCCCAAUUCCAUCCCAUCACAUUCCAUUCCAUUCCAUUCCAUCCCAUUCCAUUCCUUUUCACUUCCAUCCCAAUUCCAUCCCAUCCCAUUCCAUUCCAUUCCAUUCCAUCCCAAUUCCAUCCCAUCCCAUUCCAUUCCAUUCCAUUCCAUUCCAUCCCAAUUCCAUCCCAUCACAUUCCAUUCCAUUCCAUUCCAUCCCAUUCCAUUCCUUUUCACUUCCAUCCCAAUUCCAUCCCAUCCCAUUCCAUUCCAAUUCCAUUCCAUUUCAUUCUUUUUCACUUCCAUCCCAAUUCCAUCCCAUCCCAUUCCAUUACAUUCCAUUCCAUCCCAUUCCAUCCCAAUUCCAUCCCAUCCCAUCCCAAUUCCAUUCCAUCCCAUCCCAAUUCCAUUCUGUUCCACCCCAAUUCCGUGAUGUCCCCUCACGUUACGUGCCAUUAUUCUCCAAGGUCCCUUCCAAUUGAGCCACUUCCCGUGUUCCGCGUUCCCUUCGUUCCCUUCGUUCCCUUCGUUCCCGUUCUAUGAAGUUAUAUAUUUUGUCUCAAACAUAAACAUGAAAACCAUAUCAGGGGCACAGCUGGGGCACAGCUGGAUGGA
Molecule: long non-coding RNA, 1743 nt
Filed under: Calidris pugnax (ruff)
Lineage: Eukaryota; Metazoa; Chordata; Aves; Charadriiformes; Scolopacidae
Description: lncRNA (ENSCPUG00000014619.1)
Source: RNAcentral